RNAcentral lists this ribosomal RNA (253 nucleotides) under uncultured bacterium. RNAcentral describes it as "partial 16S ribosomal RNA". It matches the Rfam family "Bacterial small subunit ribosomal RNA", at positions 524 to 776 of the family's 1533-position model. The record is from RNAcentral.
UACAGAGGGGGCAAGCGUUGUUCGUAAUUACUGGGCGUAAAGGGCGCGUAGGCGGCCUGUUAAGUCGAACGUGAAAUCCCCGGGCUCAACCCGGGAACUGCGUCCGAUACUGGCAGGCUUGAAUCCGGGAGAGGGAUGCGGAAUUCCAGGUGUAGCGGUGAAAUGCGUAGAUAUCUGGAGGAACACCGGUGGCGAAGGCGGCAUCCUGGACCGGCAUUGACGCUGAGGCGCGAAAGCCAGGGGAGCAAACGGG